Long non-coding RNA from Nelumbo nucifera (sacred lotus), 1544 nucleotides. RefSeq lists it as uncharacterized. The record is from RefSeq and is a predicted model, not a curated record. Lineage: Eukaryota; Viridiplantae; Streptophyta; Magnoliopsida; Proteales; Nelumbonaceae.
CAUUGGGAUAAAACUGUAAAAUCACGACCUUCCAUUAGGGGUGGCCACGAGCCGAACUCUUCACGACUAAAACCCCCCCUCUCUCCCCUUCCCCUUUCUCUCCUCCCCUUCUUUCCGAUUUCCCCUAUUUUCCGUUCCUUGCAGAUGGAGAUGCGAGUGAGACCCUUUUUCCACCACCUUCCCAUCGUCGAUCACAGCGAUGACAUAGGCAUUCCUUAUCGUUGACAGCCGAUGUGCAACCACGAUUGUUGUCCUCCCGGAACAAGCACGAUCGAGGGCCUCCUGGAUGCAUUUUUCUGAUUUGGUAUCUAGUUCCAAACGGUUCAGUAGCUUCUCGAAGAACCCUUUUUUGAUCUGUUAUUGAUAGUCUUAUAGAUAGAAUCCACACUCCCUCAAUUCUAGCAAAUCGAGAGACGGAGACGGAGCUUCUUUAGGUGAAAAUUUUGAAUUUUCUUCUUCCUUGCUCUCAUCAUCACCCGCUUCAUCUUCCUUCUUCACUGUGUUUUCUUUCUUCCCUCUUUGAUUCCCAAAAUCAAUAAACCGAUCUAGUCAGUUCUUCUCUGUUUCCUGGCCUCUUCUCCUCCACUAGCGACUAAAAUAGGACUGAACCAAGAAAAUAGAUAUGGGCCAGAUCCAGUACUCCGAGAAAUACUUCGACGACACUUACGAAUACAGGCAUGUGGUUCUUCCUCUUUGAAGUGGCCAAACUGCUGCCGAAGAAUCGUCUUCUCUCUGAAGUAAAUAGGAACGAGAAACAACGAAGAAUCAAAUCUAAUUGAAGACAUGGUUCAAAGAAUUCAUGGAAAGCAUAAAAUGAGUGUUGAUUUGUAUUUUGUUUAUCAGAAUGAAUGGAGGGCGAUCGGGGUUCAGCAGAGUCGAGGAUGGGUUCACUACGCGAUCCAUCGUCCCGAGCCAUGCAUCAUGCUCUUUAGGAGGCCAUUCAACUACCAACAGUAGCAGGAGAACCAGGCUCAACAGCACAUGCUCGCCAAGUGAAUGCUAAAUUGUUAACCCAGAAAAGCUUCCCCCAGAGGAAGGAAAAGAAACCCUUUCCCUUUUCCUGAUUAUACAGGAUUCCCUGCGUUUAGUUUGGAAUCUUUUCGUCUUGAAAAGAGAAAGAAGGAAUUAGGAUUUCGGAUAUGAGAGAAUAUGGUUGUUUUCAUUGUAAGCAGAACGCGCCUAGGAAAUCUAUUUAUUUGAAUUGUUCAUUACCUUCAAAACGGUGGCAGCAACAACAACAGGGAAUGCAGCAAUGAGGACGAGGGACAGUCGGCACUGCAGAAUGAACCCAACUGUGCAAGCAACGAGCAUGAGGGCUGAAUUUUGCAUGAUAACUGAAAUCCUGUCUCCGAUUGCUGAUCGGACAUUGUUGGCAUCAAGAGCCAGCCUUGCUGCAAUCCUCGCAAGGCUGGGAAGGUGGCAGAAGAAGAGAGAGGAUUUCAAGGAAGUCCGCUGCCGCUGCAACAGCUACCGCCGCCGCAGAUAUUAUAAGGGUAGUAUGAGGAUUAAAAAAUUGGGGAAGGGGAUCUUUGUCUCACGGUGAU